Molecule: non-coding RNA, 6863 nt
Organism: Phoenix dactylifera (date palm)
Lineage: Eukaryota; Viridiplantae; Streptophyta; Magnoliopsida; Arecales; Arecaceae
Source: RefSeq, a predicted model, not a curated record
UUGCCUAGCCGAUUUAUGCCUAUAAAUAAGCAACCCUACGUUGGCGAAAUACAUCCGUUGCCCGUUCCAAGAAACACCGCCUUCAGUUCUCUCCGGCUACUCUUCUCUCAUCUUCUUUGAUUGUUCAAGAUCGUCUCCUCUCGAUCCCAUUCUUUCUUUGUAUUCACGACGUCUUCCCCUUCUACCAAAACCCUCAAAACCCUAAGGCGUGAAGGAUUCUUGGAUCGAAACUGCCAUUCUUUAUAUGGUGGAGGACCAUGCCACAACCAUAAUCGGUGGGGGAGACAGGAAGCAGAAGGGAAUGUCCAGAGUCCAAAGAUUCGCGUCACGGUCCUCGGUACUCUUGUCAGGAACUGUGUUAUUGGAUUUUCUUGGAAUCUUGUAUUACAAAAGAGCAGGGCUUUCUGACUCCUUUUCAUGCUUAACGCUUCUACUAUGUCGUUCAAGAAUUGGGUUCUUCGAGUUCUCUUGAAAUCUCUUUUGCAAGAGAAUAGGUUGCUUCGACUUCUUUUCUUGAUCAAUGCUUCUACUUCUCUUUUCAAGAAUCGGAUUUUUGGAUGAUUUUUGAAAUCUUUUUUUAUUGUAAAGCAGAGCUUUUCGAUUUUCUUUCACAUUCAAUGCUUUUGCUAUGCUGCUAUUUGAUACAUGUUGUUAUUGUAGGGGGAUGUUGAGUUCUGCUUACCAGAUUCGUGAUCAAGGCUUCUACUAUUUUUUUUAAGAAUCGAGUUCUUGGAUUCUUCUUGAAAUCUUUUUUAUGGUAAACCAGAACUUUUCAAUUUCUUUUCACAUUCAAUGCUUUGCUAUGCAGUUAUUUGAUGCAUAUCGUUAAUGAAAGGUGGAUGUUGAGUUCUGAAAUCGUGAUUAAAGCUUCUACCACUCUUUUCAAGGAUCGAGUUGUUAGAUGCUUCUUGAAAUCUUUUCUAUGGUAAACCAGAGCUUUUCGAAAAAAUUUUCACGUUCAAUGCUUCUGCAUGCUGCCAUUUGAUGCAUAUUGUUAAUGAAAGGUGGUUGCUAAGUUCUGAAUUUAUGAUUAGGGCUUCUACCAUUCUUUUUAAGAAUCGAGUUCUUGGAUGCUACUUGAAAUCUUUUCUAUGGUAAACCAGAGCUUUUCGAUUUCUUUUCACGUUCAAUACUUCUGUUAUGACCCUAUUUGAUGCAUAUUGUUAAUAGAAGGUAGAUGCUAAGUUCUGAAUUCGUGUUCAAGGCUUCUACCACUCUUUUGAAGAAUCAAGUUCCUGGAUGCUUUUUGAAAUCUUUUAUAUUGAAAACUAGAGUUUUUUUUAUUUCUUUUCAUGUUCAAUACUUCUGCUAUGCUGCUAUUUGAUGCAUAUUAUUAAUAGAAGGUGGAUGCUAAGUUUUGAACUCGUGAUCAAGGCUUCUAUAACUCUUUUCAAGAAUCAAGUUCUUGGAUGCUUCUUCAAAUCUUUUCUAUGGUAAACCAGAGUUUUUCGAUUUCUUUUCACAUUCAAUGCUUCUACUAUGCUGCUAUUUGAUGCAUAUUGUUAAUGGAAGAUGGAUGCUAAGUUCUAAAUUCGUGAUCAAAGUCUCUACCACUCUUUUUAAGAAUCGAGUUUUUGAAUGCUUCUUGAAAUUUUUUCUAUAGAAAACCAGAGCUUUUCGAUUUCUUUUCACGUUCAAUACUUCUGCUAUGCUGCUAUUUGAUGUAUAUUGUUAUUUGAAGGUGGAUGCUAAGUUUUGAAUUCGUGAUCAAGACUUCUACCACUCUUUUUAAGAAUCAAGUUCUUGAAUGCUUUUUAAAAUAUUUUCUAUGAAAAAACCAGAACUUUUUGAUUUUUUUCAUGUUCAAUGCUUCUACUAUGCUGCUAUUUCAUGCAUAUUGUUAAUGAAAGUUGGAUGCUAAGUUCUGAAUUCGUGAUCAAGGCUUCUAUCACUCUUUUCAAGAAUCUAGUUCUUGAAAGCUUCUUGAAAUUUUUUCUAUAGUAAACCAGAGUUUUUUGGUUUCUUUUCAUGUUUAAUGUUUCUGCUAUGGUGCUAUUUGAUGCAUAUUGCUAAUGGAAGAUGAAUGCUAAGUUUUGAAUUCGUGAUCAAGGUUUCUACCACUCUUUUCAAGAAUCAAUUUUUUUGAUGCUUCUUGAAAUCUUUUCUAUAGUAAAUCAGAGCUUUUUGAUCUUCUUUCAUGUUCAAUGCUUUUGCUAUGCUGCUAUUUGAUGCAUAUUGUUAAUGGAAGGUGGAUGCUAAGUUCUAAAUUCGUGAUCAAAGCUUCUACUUCAAGAAUCUAGUUCUUGGAAGCUUUUUAAAAUCUUUUUUAUGAAAAAUCAAUGCUUUUUGAUUUCUUUUCAUGUUUAAUGCUUCUACUAUGCUGCUAUUUGAUGCAUAUCGUUAAUAGAAGGUGGAUGCUAAGUUCUGAAUUCGUGAUUAAAGCUUCUACCACUCUUUUCAAGAAUCAAGUUCUUGGAUGCUAAUCUUUCCUAUGGAAAACCAAAGCUUUUCGAUUUUUUUUCAUGUUCGAUACUAGUUCUGCUAUGCUGCUAUUUAAUGUAUAUUGUUAUUUGAAGGUGGGUGCUAAGUUUUGAAUUCGUGAUUAAGACUUCUACUACUCUUUUUAAGAAUUAAGUUCUUGGAUGCUUUUUGAAAUUUUUUCUAUGGAAAAAUAGAGCUUUUCGAUUUCUUUUCACGUUCAAUGCUUCUACUAUGCUGCUAUUUGAUGCAUAUUGUUAAUGGAAGGUGGAUGCUACGUUCUGAAUUCAUGAUCAAGGCUGCUACUACUCUUUUCAAGAAAUGAGUUUUUGAAUGCUUCUUGAAAUUUUUCUAUAGUAAACUAGAGCUUUUCGAUUUCUUUUCUCGUUCAAUGCUUCUGCUAUGCUGCUAUUUGAUGCAUAUUGUUAAUAGAAGGUGGAUGCUAAAUUCUGAAUUCGUGAUCAAGGCUUCUACCACUCUUUUCAAGAAUCGAGUUCUUGAAUGCUUCUUGAAAUUUUUUCUAUGAAAACUAGAGCUUUUUGAUUUUUUUUUACGUUCAAUGUUUCUGCUAUACUGCUAUUUGAUGCAUAUUGUUAAUGGAAGGGGUGUGCUAAGUUCUGAAUUCAUGAUCCAGGCUUCAACCACUCUUUUUAAGAAUCGAGUUCUUGGAUGCUUCUUGAGAUUUUUUCUAUGAAAAAUUGGAGCUUUUCUAUUUUUUUCACGUUCGAUGCUUUGGCUAUGCUACUAUUUGAUGGAUAUUGUUAAGGAAAAGUGGAUGCUAAGUUCUGAAUUCGUGAUCUAGGCUUUUACCACUCUUCAAGAAUUGAGUUUUUGGAUGCUCUUGAAAUCUUUUCUAUUGUAAACCAGAGCUUUUCGAUUUUUUUCACGUUCAAUACUUCUGCUAUUCUUCUAUUUGAUGCAUAUUGUUAUUUGAAGGUGGAUGCUAAGUUCAAAAAUCGUGAUCAAGGCUUCUACCACUUUUUUCAAAAAUUGAGUCCUUGGAUGCUUCUUAAAAUUUUUUCUAUGGAAAACUAGAGCUUUUCAAAAUUUUUUUCACAUUCAAUGCUUCUGCUAUGCUACUAUUUGAUGCAUAUUGUUAAUGAAAGGUGGAUGCUAAGUUCUAAAUUCGUGAUCAAGGCUUCUACCACUUUUUGCAAGAAUCGAGUUUUUUGAUGCUUUUUGAAAUCUUUUCUAUGGUAAACCAAAGCUUUUUAAUUUUUUUUCAUGUUCUAUAUUUCUGCUAUGCUGCUAUUCGAUGCAUAUUGUUAAUAAAAGGUGGAUGUUAAGUUCUGAAUUCGUGAUCAAGGCUUCUACCACUCUUCAAGAAUCGAGUUCUUGGAAGCUUUUUGAAAUCUUUCUGUGGUAAACCAGAGUUUUUCGACUUUUUUUCACGUUCAAUGCUUCUACUAUGCUGCUAUUUGAUGCAUAUUGUUAAUGGAAAGUAGAUGCUCAGUUCUGAAUUCGUGAUCAAGGCUUGUAUCACUUUUUUCAAGAAUCGAAUUCUUGGAUGCUUCUUGAAAUCUUUUUUAUGAAAAACUAGAGCUUUUCGAUUUUUCUUUCACAUUCAAUGCUUCUGCUAUGCUGUUAUUUAAUGUAUAUUGUUAAUGGAAGGUGGACGGUAAGUUUUGAAUUCGUGAUCAAGGCUCGACCACUCUUUUCAAGAAUCGAGUUUUUAAAUGCUUUUGAAAUCUUUUCCAUAGAAAACCAUAGCUUUUCGAUUUCUUUUCACGUUCAAUGCUUCUGCUGUGCUGCUAUUUGAUGCAUAUUGUUAAUGGAAGGUGGAUACUAAGUUCUGAAUUUGGGAUCAAGGCUUCUACCACUCUUUUCAAGAAUCGAGUUUUUAGAUGCUACUUGAAAUAUUUUUUAUGAAAAACCAGAGCUUUUCAAUUUCUUUUCACAUUCAAUGUUUCUGUUAUGCUGCUAUUUGAUUCAUAUUGUUAAUGGAAGGUUGCUUCACAAGAACGAUUAUGAGAGAGAGAGAGGGGGGGGGGGGGGUUGCUUCACACGAACGAUUGUGAGAGGGGUUCUCUCGAAUAGUCACGACCUUGUUUUGGGGAAUUAGGGUUUGGUUUGGUACACCUCGAAAUGGUUGGUUUGGGACGAACCCUCAUAGGAUCAUACGUUAUUUUAGUAUUAAUUGUUUGCAGAUUUACCAUAUGGUAUUACACUGUCAGUUAGUAUUAAGUAUCAGCAUAUAAAUAUAUACAACCUUGUAAGCAAUUAUUUUUACGGGCAUAGAAACAUUCAAUUGUGUUUUUUAUUUAGGUCUUAUGGAUGGUAAUAGUGUUUAUUUCUACAAGUUAAAUUUUUAUUUUCUAGCAUUUUCAUGUGGAAAUAAUAUAUGAACUUGCUCUUGUAGUGAAAGUCAUGUGGAAAUAAUAAUAGUUGUCCAUCAGAAAUAUAUAACACAUAUCCAAAAUUCGAAUUAGUUCGAAUGACACUAAGGUAAUUCAUAUCAACAAAAAUUUUAGAAAUGGAACCCUUCAAAUCUCCUUCAUUUUAGUUGAAGAUCUUCGAUUUAAUACAUAAAGUUGAAUUUGUAUGGAUGUGCCUUCAGCAUUGUUGGCCGGGUUUGGGAUGAUUUCCAUAGUAGCCUAUCCCCAGAUACGUUGAUAUGCACACAAGGUUGGCUUCGAGACACCUUGCCUCAUCUUGCAGCUAUUUUCUAUCAAGUUCAUACAUCGUCGGGGUGCGACAUUGCGAACUGAAGGGUAAGAGACUCCGCUUUCUGAAUUGGGCCAAAAGCAUGUCUCUUUACACUGCCAUGUGCCAUCUACUUCACUUGACAUGUCGUACUAUGUUUUUUCUUGCUUGACUGUGAUGUAAUUCAUUUUCAUACUGUCUUGGAUAGGUUCAUCUAAAUGUUCAAAUGAACCACUAGAAUAUUCUCUCAGUUAAAGUGAACUGAUCAUUCAUGGAUGUUUAGGUAGUAUGUCUUUCUGUUUUGCAGUCCUAUCAAACCACAGAGAAAACAAUUAUACUGCAGAUGGUUUAGGUAAUUCCUUUGGUUCAUUUGGUUCAGUUACAGGUUCGGAAUGCACAAUUGGCCCUUUAUGGAUGAUUUGGGCUUGUGAAAUACAGCUUGCUGUGGGUGUAGAUAUGCUCACUGUAAGAUGUGGAAUUAUUAGUCAACGACAGAUUUCAAUGUUGCUACAUCUUUCAAAUUAGUUUGCUGAUGAGUUUGCUGAUGGAAAUAAAGAUAUACUAGCAAUUUUCUGUGUUUCUCAUGGAGGUUUUUCAGUUUAGAUUCUCUAUUUUUAUUGCUUGUAUACUCACUAUCAUCAAACUAUCAAUCUAUCAUCUUAGAGAAGAACAGGAGCCAAAGUCAGCAGAAGUGUGAAGAGUUCGUGGGCUUAGAUGGUCUGAUGUUGCUAGGCCAUUUCUACUGGGAUACACACAGCGAUGGUCCAACCAGAAUGCUAAGCACGGGCUGAAGGGGGUGGUUUCGGUUUGGUAUUCACAAAGCAUGGAGUUCCCUCAUUGUCAUCGACUUCUUGAUACAUAUUGUAAGUCUUUUUUUGUUACACAUCUAGUAGCAACUCAUACAUAUCUCUAGGUAAAUUAAUAUAUAGUUUUAAAAUAUGAUGUAUAUCAGUAUAUAAUAUGUAGCUAGUUGAUACAUAUCUAGCAAUAUAAUCAUUCAACAUCUCACUGCAUAUCUCCAAAUAAAUUGGUACGAUCUUCAUAAUAUGAUGCUCACCAGUAUACACUACAUAAUCAAGUGAUAUAUAUUUUUCGGCUUUCUGAUACAUACUAUAAAAUUUUCUGAUACACAUCCAGCAGCAACCCAAGACAUAUCUUCAGAUAAAUGGAUACACAAUUUUCAGAAUAGAGUAUCAGUACUCGUUGCACGGUUAGAUAAUACACAUCUAGCAAAAUAGUCGUCUAACAUUCCAAUAUAUACUUUUAGAUAAACAGCUACACAGUUUGCAGAAGAAAGGAAGAAAUGAACUUGGGAGGAGAAGAAAGUCCUCACGGAUGGAAAAGACGGCUUGAUGAGAAAAAAAGAAUAAAAGAAGAGGCUUGACAAGAAAGAAAGAGAAUGUAAAUAGGCUUUCUUUACGAAUAAUUAGGGGACUGACGGAAAUUUGUUUAUGACCGCCAUUCCGGUGGGUCAGGAUGGUGUCCUUCCCAAAAUUCCACUAACCAAGGAACGCCAAGAAUCCAGCCGGUAGUACGUCCCUGUCGCCAAUCGAGGUCUGAUACAUUACAACUUGCGAUUCACAAACUGGUGGGGCCUACGGAAUAUAAAACUGGUGGGACCUAUGGCGCAUGAUUGGUGUAAAUCAGGAAUUUCCAUGAUAUGAUGCUCUGGAUUUCGUCUCUUUGUGCAGCUUCAGUGAUACAUUAAUCCAAGCAAUGGUGUUGCCAAAUUAAAGUGGUAUUCCAAAUACGCAAAGGAAAGAGCAUGAAUGCGUUUGAAUUUAAAAUGCUAGAUUUGUCUU